AGGAUGAACGCUGGCGGCGUGCUUAACACAUGCAAGUCGAACGAUGAACCUCACUUGUGGGGGGAUUAGUGGCGAACGGGUGAGUAACACGUGAGUAACCUGCCCUUAACUCUGGGAUAAGCCUUGGAAACGGGGUCUAAUACCGGAUAUUUACGAUUGAUCGCAUGGUUGGUUGUGGAAAGAUUUAUUGGUUUUGGAUGGACUCGCGGCCUAUCAGCUUGUUGGUGAGGUAAUGGCUUACCAAGGCGACGACGGGUAGCCGGCCUGAGAGGGUGACCGGCCACACUGGGACUGAGACACGGCCCAGACUCCUACGGGAGGCAGCAGUGGGGAAUAUUGCACAAUGGGCGCAAGCCUGAUGCAGCGACGCCGCGUGAGGGAUGAAGGCCUUGGGUUGUAAACCUCUUUCAGUAGGGAACAAGGCCGGCUUUUGGUGGUUGAGGGUACCUGCAGAAGAAGCGCCGGCUAACUACGUGCCAGCAGCCGCGGU
RNAcentral lists this ribosomal RNA (490 nucleotides) under uncultured bacterium. RNAcentral describes it as "SSU rRNA". It matches the Rfam family "Bacterial small subunit ribosomal RNA", at positions 26 to 521 of the family's 1533-position model. The record is from RNAcentral.